This 425-nucleotide ribosomal RNA is filed under the name uncultured bacterium. Its description in RNAcentral is "partial 16S ribosomal RNA". It matches the Rfam family "Bacterial small subunit ribosomal RNA", at positions 354 to 796 of the family's 1533-position model. The record is from RNAcentral.
GUGGGGAAUCUUAGACAAUGGGGGAAACCCUGAUCUAGCCAUGCCGCGUGAGCGAUGAAGGCCUUAGGGUUGUAAAGCUCUUUCAGAUGGGAAGAUAAUGACGGUACCAUCAGAAGAAGCCCCGGCUAACUCCGUGCCAGCAGCCGCGGUAAUACGGAGGGGGCUAGCGUUGUUCGGAAUUACUGGGCGUAAAGCGCACGUAGGCGGACCAGAAAGUCAGAGGUGAAAUCCCAGGGCUCAACCUUGGAACUGCCUUUGAAACUCCUGGUCUUGAGGUCGAGAGAGGUGAGUGGAAUUCCGAGUGUAGAGGUGAAAUUCGUAGAUAUUCGGAGGAACACCAGUGGCGAAGGCGGCUCACUGGCUCGAUACUGACGCUGAGGUGCGAAAGCGUGGGGAGCAAACAGGAUUAGAUAACCCGGUAGUCC